CUACGGGACGCUGCAGUUAAGAAUCUUCUGCAAUGCGCGCAAGCGUGACAGAGCGAGCCAAAGUGCGUUUCAAAUUGAAACGCUUUUUUCAGAUUUAAAAAGUCUGGAGAAUAAGGACUGGGUAAGACGAGUGCCAGCCGCCGCGGUAAUACUCGCGGUCCAAAUCGCAGCCAUUUUUAUUGGGUCUAAAACAUCCGUAGCUUGUUUGGUAAGUUCCUUGUGAAAUUCUAUGUCUCAAGCAUAGAGCGUGCAAGGAGUACUGCCUCACUAGAGACCGGAAGACGUAGGAAGUACAUUCGAAGUAGCGGUAAAAUGUUUUAAUCUCGAGCGGACUCACAAUAGCGAAGGCAUCCUACGAGGACGGUUCUGACAGUAAGGGAUGAAGGCUAGGGGCGCAAAACGGAUUAGAUACCCGCGUAGUC
This 422-nucleotide ribosomal RNA is filed under the name uncultured archaeon. Its description in RNAcentral is "partial 16S ribosomal RNA". It matches the Rfam family "Archaeal small subunit ribosomal RNA", at positions 323 to 746 of the family's 1478-position model. The record is from RNAcentral.